This is an RNA transcript of Gastrolobium bilobum, 2418 nucleotides long. It is a transcript of the gene named serine/threonine-protein kinase STY17-like, with no coding region annotated. The record is from RefSeq and is a predicted model, not a curated record. The transcript has 17 exons. Lineage: Eukaryota; Viridiplantae; Streptophyta; Magnoliopsida; Fabales; Fabaceae.
CUCAGCAUAAAAACUCACUUCACUUCGCUUUCUCGCGCUUUCUCGCACUUUCUCUUCCGUUUUCCCUCUCUUUCUCGGCCGCAUGAGAUUGAGACGCGCGUCGUCACCUUGAAGAGAGAACCACGCAGAGAGAGAGAGAGAGAGAGAGAGAGAGAGAGAGAGAUGGAUUUCAUUGAAGGCGUGGGAGAGAGCUCCUCGCCACCGCGCAACUUCAGCGGUUUCGGCAACUACGACGUGAGGAACGAUGUGUACAAUCGCUUAGUGGAAACCGGUCACGAUCAAGCAGUGUCGAACCCCGAUUUUCGAGAACAGUUGGAGGCUCACUUCAAUCGCUUGCCUCCAAGUUAUGGGCUUGAUGUUAAUAUGGAUAGAGCUGAAGAUGUUCUAUUGCAUCAGAGUCUUCUUACAUUGGCAAGAGACCCUGAAAAGCGCCCUGUCUUCCAUGUCCGCUUCUUGGAGAAUAUUUCUACUCAAACAGAUGGUGAAGAUCAACAAAUUGUAAGUACUCAAUCUAGCCCAAGGCCAUCUUUUCUUACAACUAAUGGGGGAGCAGUAUCAUCUCAUAAGAGAACUAGGGAUCAUGCCAUUGACUUUGAGCCUUGCUCCAAGCUUGAGGACCUAAAUUUGGAUGUUAGAAAGAACUCCAAGGAGAUUGAGGGAAGAUUUCUCACUGACAACUUUUCCCAGAGGCAGGAAUAUUCAAAUGUCCCAAUUCAUGAAGUAAUAUUUUCCACCAUCGACAAGCCAAAGCUUUUAAGCCAGUUGUCGGCUUUGCUGUCUGAUAUUGGGCUUAACAUUCGUGAAGCACACGUUUUUUCCACAACUGAUGGUUACUCCCUCGAUGUAUUUGUGGUGGACGGAUGGCCAAUAGAGGAAACAGAUGGGUUGUAUGACGCAAUGGAAAAAGCUGUCGCGAGAAGUGAGGGGUCAUGGUCUCGUUCUUCAAAUUCCUAUUUGGCUGUGGAAAAACCCUUAGCAGCAGAGGCAACAUCUGGAGAUUGGGAAAUAGAUAGGAAGUUAUUGAAGAUAGGAGAACGAAUAGCAUCUGGAUCCGGUGGAGAUUUGUAUCGAGGAGUUUAUCUUGGUCAAGAUGUUGCUGUCAAGGUUCUGAGGUCUGAGCAAUUGAAUGAUGCUUUAGAGGAUGAGUUUUCUCAAGAAGUGGCAAUCUUGAGGCAGGUAAAUCAUAACAAUGUUGUUCGUUUCAUUGGUGCAUGUACAAAGUCUCCACAUUUGUUUAUAGUAACAGAGUAUAUGCCUGGAGGAAGUCUGUAUGAUUACCUGCACAAAAGUCAUAAUGUCUUGGAGCUGUCUCGAUUACUAAAUAUUGUGAUUGAUGUUAGCAAGGGUAUGGAGUAUUUGCAUAGAAACAACAUAAUUCACAGGGAUCUGAAGACGGCAAAUCUGCUGAUGGAUACACACAAUGUUGUUAAAGUAGCAGAUUUUGGAGUUGCUCGGUUCCUAAAUCAAGGGGGAGUGAUGACAGCAGAAACUGGAACAUAUAGAUGGAUGGCGCCAGAGGUUAUAAACCACCAACCGUAUGAUCAGAAAGCAGACGUGUUCAGCUUUUCCAUAGUACUAUGGGAGUUAGUGACAUCAAAGGUACCAUAUGAUGCUAUGACUCCACUACAAGCUGCCUUGGGUGUGAGACAGGAAAUAACUAUUUAUUAUGUUUGGAGUCAUAAACUUGGGGAUAAAAUUGCUAGAUUUCAUUUGUGCUUGAGAUUGUGUCUCGUUGGAGGAUAUAUCAUGAGGUCUACGCCCAGAACUUCCAAAGCAUGGGCACACUAAACUAUUAGAUUUGAUGCAAAGAUGUUGGGAAGCAGUUCCAAUCAACCGGCCAUCCUUCCACGAGAUAACAGUCAUACUUGAGAAUCUUUUGCAAGAAGUUGAGAAUGAUUCACAAGCUAAUGAUGAUGCUUGACAUUUUCUGAUAAAAUAUUAGAUUCCAGUUAUUGUCAGGCAGUUGGGUGAGAAUCUGGCUUUUUCUUGUUUCUGUUUUUUUGGCUAUUCAAGCUAGAGUUUUUCAUGUUCCUUUUUUGCACUGUGGGAAAAAGGAGUUCACAAAAGCUGACCAAUACAAAGAGAGAAAUUGUAAAGAAACAUACUAAUGUUAUAGUUGAUAAUACAUCCGAUAUAUAACCAAGGCAAAAUCAUGUUAAACUGCAUUGUAAAAAGUUGUUUUCUUUUAAGGAGAGAAAUGUGUUCCACCCGGCUAUUCAAAUGGGUUCUCUAGUAAGUGAACUUCAAUUGUUGUAAAAAGUCAAUGAAGGACCUGGUCGAAUUUUUAGACCACGUUAAUAGUAGUUUGGGUUUGAUUUUCAGGUUUUCCUCUUUUGGUAAAUAAUAUAUAAUUUUACCAUAAACCCUCGUUGAGGUUGGAGGUUGGUAGUCUUCACUUACCUUGCAAUUUAAACUCUC